RNAcentral lists this ribosomal RNA (391 nucleotides) under Xenogryllus sp. NV-2017. RNAcentral's name for it is "partial 12S ribosomal RNA". The record is from RNAcentral. Lineage: Eukaryota; Metazoa; Arthropoda; Insecta; Orthoptera; Gryllidae.
UAUUAUUUUUAAUGUAUUUAUGUAAACUGGGGUAGUAGUAGUAGGUCUUGAAACCUAAAGAAUUUGGCGGUGUUUUAGUCUUUUCAGGGGAAUCUGUCUCGUAAUCGAUGAUACACGAUUGGAUGUACUUAAUUUUGUUAUCAGUAUGUAUACCGCCGUCGUAGGAUUAUAUUUUGAAAUGAAUUUUCUUGAUUUUAUAUUAAAUAUUAUGUCAGGUCAAGGUGCAGCUUAUAAUUAAGUGUAUGAUGGAUUACAAUAAUUUUAAUUAUAAUGAAUAAUUAUUUUAAGUUAAUUUAAAGGUGGACUUGAUUGUAAAUUGAUUUUAAUUUGUUGGUUGAUUUGAGCUCUAAAAUGUGUACAUAUCGCCCGUCGCUCUCGUUACUAAGAUGAG